Molecule: transfer RNA, 73 nt
Filed under: Chroomonas placoidea
Lineage: Eukaryota; Cryptophyceae; Pyrenomonadales; Chroomonadaceae
Description: tRNA-Phe
Rfam family: tRNA
About the family: Transfer RNA (tRNA) molecules are approximately 80 nucleotides in length. Their secondary structure includes four short double-helical elements and three loops (D, anti-codon, and T loops).
Source: RNAcentral
GUCUAAUUAGCUCAGUGGUUAGAGCAAAAGACUGAAAAUCUUUAAGUCAGAGAUUCAAAUUCUCUAUUAGACA